Anopheles moucheti is the source of this 2540-nucleotide long non-coding RNA. RefSeq lists it as uncharacterized. The transcript is spliced from 3 exons. The record is from RefSeq and is a predicted model, not a curated record. Lineage: Eukaryota; Metazoa; Arthropoda; Insecta; Diptera; Culicidae.
ACGAAGUGAUUUAUUUGUUUUUUUGGCUGCCUGCAAGGAAUGGUUUUGAAUAACGCUUCGAAGUAUCUGCUCCGAUCCGAUGGGGGAGUGCGUUAAAUCGUGUUGCUAUUGCUGUGCGUCCUGCUACAAUACACCGAUCUGCUGUUUUGGAAGUCUGUGCUGUUUGCUGAUACCGCUACUUGGAUUGCUAAUCAUUCUGUUUGGGAUAGUGUUUGGGAUGAUCGUAGGGCUAGCCUGGUUAGCACAAAACCACACCGAACCGGAAUCUGUGAAGCGUAUGCUUGCAAUAUUGGCCAACAGUUCCUCCAAUGGAUCGUCGGACGGGCAUGCCAUUGCGGAGUAGAGAAAGUAGGGCCACGAUGGAUGUAGAUGUGCACGUUCUUAUCAUUCCAUUAUCGCUUCGUGACGGAGCAAAGGGACAGCAAAACAAACACAUCUGCUGGAGGUAGUAUUUGUUCACCGAAUGAUUGCAGAAGGUACGCUGGGACACCUUUGACUGAUAUUUAACUCAACGAGUGCAUUAAAUGAGGAGGUUCAGAGGAGAAUUUCUAAUUUUAACCCUCAGAAACAAGCGAAGCACACGUUCUCGGAUGGUCAAGGAAAACCCUGCGUACCCUAACCGCAAUGCGUUGCCGGCAGAUGCCAUCUUCAAGAUUAGAUUUCCCCGAUUGCCCACCGGCACAACCACAACCACAAAGUAUAGGAUAUAGGUCAGCAGGUUCGAAACACAAAGUAAGAAGGGUCAGCAUAAUUAGCAUGCAGAUUGCGAAUGCGCGAUCGACGGCCAGCCCGAAAAAGAUUGAUGAUGGUUUUCUGCACCGUUCCGUGACGGGGCCAGCGUGUGAAACACGCACUGGUACACUAGUCUUUAUCAGAUAAUCGAAGAUAGCGCAAAGAUAGUGAAGCUAAAGCAAAAAGCUUUGCAAAAGCUUACGACAAACGGCCCGCCGGAGGUAAAAUCUAUCCAGCAUUUCCAUCACUUUCGGUCGAUUUAAUUGAUCGACGGCUACGAAUCCUACGCUCCAAUUAGCCGAUGCACCAAGGCAAGCAUAAAACCGGCAGCAUAAUCGAAACCAAACUAUGUAUGCGCGCCCGCGUGCGUGUGUGUGUGUGUGCGCAAUAAUUUCGCCACCAGCCGGGUCUGCUGCACCACACCACACCGCCACUUUCACAUGACGGGGUAAGAGCGCGAUUUGUUUGCAUCUUUUCCCUCCUGCACGGCGUUACAUAAACGCUCCGGCAACACGAGCACCGCGUGUGGACCCCGUUGCAGUUCCACAAAUGCACCACAUAAAAUGGUACGAAGCAAACAGCAAACAAUUCAACGCGAAGGGGAGUUCCAAUUUCCCACCUUGCUGCGCGCACGGCAGCAUAGAACAGCAUGAGAAGCGGGGCACGCACUGCAGCACCCACCUUCUCAGCCCAGCAUCAAACCGAAACCGAUGGACGGAGCUCCCAUUUGGUUGUCAUUUCGUUGUGUGUAUCGUUUUUCUUUUUUUUUUCAUUUAAUUUAAAAUUUCAUCCCAGCUGUUCGGAAUGCGUUGCGUAGCGGCACGCAAUAACGGGGUGAAGAAAUGCCCUCCAAAAACCGACGCACGCUUUCCAAACAGCAGCGCCCCUAUUGGAUGUGUGCCCAUUAAUUUGUACGCAUAAUAUUUACGCAAAUUGGCACUUUCUUCCGCGCGCGCGGCCCCGUGAGUCAUGGAUUGACAUGAUUGAUUGGUAAAGUGGAUGAUGGAUAUCAGGAUCCGGCGUUUUGGGUGUGGUUAGGGAGAAAAUGUAAAUCUUAAAAAAGUUCCACCUCAACAUAAGGACGGGAAGUCUAGGGUGGAUAUUCCAACCAGGAGACCCCAAGGCGUAGGUUUCGAGUAGUCCGUUUACGUCAGUAAGUUUACUAAAAAUAGCUUAUAUUGUGCAGAAUUGCGCUGAAGGUUUAGAACCUUCCAAUUAGUUUAAAAGAACGAUCUAUAAUCAUGGCGACCGUACACUAGCACUACAAAUUAAUGGUGAUAUACUUUAACAGCAUUUUGACCUACAUUUCAUUGGAAUCGCCCUACGGCAACGAUAGCGAAUGUGCUUGGAAAGCAUGACCAUUAAAAUAUAAAUAAUUCACCCUUAGCAAGUGAUUUUAAUCCAUAAAAUUCGUACAGUUCGUUCUGCACCGUUUCUGCAAGGUCCCUGACAACAGCCAUUAUGCACGCAACGAAGGAAACAUAUUCAUUACAACAAGCCUCCUGCAGCGCUCUGCGUGUGUGUGUGUGUGUGUGUUUUGUAAGUGCGUAUCGACUUACACGUCAAUUACCUCAUUCAACCCGAUUGGGGUCUUCUGAGUCACUUGCAGCACAACGAGGAAGGAUCCCCGGUUGAAGUUGAAAUUGACCUCACACCGGUGGUACCGUGGCACGUAAAACACCAACGACGUCUUAAAUCACAGCAGAUCUUCAACGUAUUCAAACCGAGAGGGAGACCGGUUGCGUUAUAUGUGCGUCAUAAAGAAUGCAGUAACGUUCAGGCGGUGGGUUCCAGGGAGGAAACUCAAA